Long non-coding RNA from Hordeum vulgare subsp. vulgare (domesticated barley), 448 nucleotides. RefSeq lists it as uncharacterized. The record is from RefSeq and is a predicted model, not a curated record. The transcript has 3 exons. NCBI's taxonomy places the organism in Eukaryota, Viridiplantae, Streptophyta, Magnoliopsida, Poales, Poaceae.
AGCUCCCAGAACACCAUCUCCCGCUUGGCAUGACUUUGGUUGGGGUCUCAGUAAGUGGUGAAAGUGAUGAAAAUGCUGCUUUGGGUAGCUGGAUUCGCAGUUUGAACAAUAUCAAGCUUAAAGAUGUGAUAGGGCGUUGUCCAGCAAGGGGAGUAUUUGUAUUGAGGAGCUGAUAGGGAGGCUUUUCUGAUGAGGAUAUAGAGCAUACACGCUGAAGACUGGCUACUACGCAUGGAAGAUCCAGGAAGUGAUGCCGAUUCAGAAACAUAAUUGGAGGAUGGUUUUUGUGCACCCCAAGCUGGGGGUUUGCAUUUUCUUUUCCUUUUUUGGUGGACAAUACAAACUACGCGCUGAUCAAUGUAUAUUAGACGAUUCAGGUAUAAACAUGUUAGUAGACAUAUAAACUGUGGACCCAUGUCCCAAAAUUCAGAAACAGUUGCCAUCAGGA